AGCUAGGGAAAAUUGGAUGUAAAUUUUUCUGUAAAUGUCCGUAGAUAUAUAAUUUGUCUGAUUCCGAGUCCGUAUGAGAAAGUUACGCACCUAUUUUAAGGAAGGACAC
RNAcentral lists this ribosomal RNA (109 nucleotides) under Oryza glaberrima (African rice). RNAcentral's name for it is "rRNA EPlOGLG00000000524". Lineage: Eukaryota; Viridiplantae; Streptophyta; Magnoliopsida; Poales; Poaceae. The record is from RNAcentral.